Molecule: ribosomal RNA, 392 nt
Filed under: uncultured bacterium
Lineage: Bacteria
Description: partial 16S ribosomal RNA
Rfam family: Bacterial small subunit ribosomal RNA
Source: RNAcentral
AUACGGAGGAUCCGAGCGUUAUCCGGAUUUAUUGGGUUUAAAGGGUGCGCAGGCGGCCAUUUAAGUCAGCGGUUAAAUCGUGGGGCUCAACCCCAUUCUGCCGUUGAUACUGGGUGGCUUGAUUGCGGUCGAGGUUGGCGGAAUUCGUUGUGUAGCGGUGAAAUGCAUAGAUAUGACGAAGAACAACGAUUGCGGAGUCAGCAGACCAGAUCGCAAAUGACGCUCAUGCACGAAAGUGCGGGGAUCGAACAGGAUUAGAUACCCUGGUAGUCCGCACAGUAAACGAUGAAUACGUGUUUUCGGCGAUAUAAUGUCGGAGGCAAAGCGAAAGCGAUAAGUAUUCCACCUGGGGAGUACGCCGGCAACGGUGAAACUCAAAGGAAUUGACGGGG